Cryptotermes secundus is the source of this 1692-nucleotide long non-coding RNA. RefSeq lists it as uncharacterized. The transcript has 2 exons. NCBI's taxonomy places the organism in Eukaryota, Metazoa, Arthropoda, Insecta, Blattodea, Kalotermitidae. The record is from RefSeq and is a predicted model, not a curated record.
GCUGUUAAGAAAACACCAUUUCCAGAGAGUAGGUUGUUCUUAGUUUUCAUUUAUUUCUGUGGUACAGCUACAUAUAUACUUGAAUUGACUUUGAAUUCAUUACCUUGUAAAUACUGUUCUCUGUGUAUCUGUAUAAUUCUCUUCCUUGUGGUAUUCUUAUAUAAAUUUGAAAUUCAUCUCUUUUCAUACUUGACCUUGACUGUAUAAGCAUUUUGAAAGCUACGACUUCAAAAAUUUAUUCAACAUUCAGUUCUUCCUGUUGUACUCUUAGUCGUAAAUAUGUGCUGACCAGACAUAAGAUAAUAGCAAAAACAACUGAAGAGAUAUAAAUGCUGUGAUUAUUACUUAUAUUAAUUUUAACCUUUUUUGAUAUGGUUUACUAUUUCAUCUGUGCCACAAGUGGCUAAGUGAACACCAUCAUGAUAAAGGUUAAUCACAAGCUGAUAUUUAGUUGCCACUAGAAAUCUGGCAAUCAUGUAUCUUGAUCCCUGGCCAUGAGUAAGUAGUUUUCUCUUCGGAAAGCAUUUUCAAAAAGUUCUUAAAAUCACUGUGCAUAAGAGGGCAUAUUAGAUUCUUAAUUCUGUUCUAUACUGCGACAGGUUAUAAUGUUAAAAAGAUUGUUGAACUGAACCAAAAUUAUGGCAUGGCACAUGAAGCAUAUACUAAUAUGUGUUCCUUUUUAUUUAGUCAUUUAAAAUUCAUCUGUCUCAGAAUUGUUUAUGCUGUUUGUUUUUGUGAUGAACCUAGAUGCCUGCAGAGAGAAGUAUUACAUUAUAUGAUGUGUGAUUAUAGUAAAGGAUGUGAACAGUAAGUACUUCAGUUUUUUGGCUCUUGUUUCAUUCAAUAAAUAUAAAAUAAAUUGUAGCACUCAACUGAUGGAUAAACAAUGUCACAUUGCAUACAAUGUUUAUAAAGAAUAUAUGCUCAUAAUUCAGUUUUCCCAAACAGAAAUUUUCACAAUUCUGUUCUUAUUAAUAUUUAUAAAGUUGAGAUUUGAGUUUUCACAGCAGUGAAUAUUCUUUCUGUAGUAUUCCAGAUCAUGGGUUCCCCUAACACAGGGUUGCAAUGAAUUGGGCCACAAGGGCCUUCUGAUGGGUUUGCAUAGUGCUAAAAUAAUCAAGUGAACUUGAAUGCUAAAAUUAUUGUUAAGUAGGCACAUAAAAAUACACAUAAUCCCAAAUGUUUUCUUUAAUAUUAUAUUAUAAAUCUACAGUAGGCCCUUGCACCAUUUGUGACACAAGCCAAAAUGUGAUUUCAGAUACUGGGUUGACUUUAAAUGAGUCCAGCAACUACUGUACUAGGUUACGUGUAUGACACUGUGUAGUCAAGUAGAUGGGUGCUGCUCAAGAUGAAGAAACGAACUCCAUUUUCUACCCUGAAGAUGGGAGCAGUAUAUUUCUCUGAUCACUGGUCCUCACCUUCUAGACUGCGCCAUGUUGUAACCCAGAAGACCAAAACAUGAGGAUUGAUUUUGUGUUUAUGAAUGUUUGCUUCGCCACUGAUUAUCUCAGUUGUCACAAGUGGUCCAGCAUAUUUCUUUAGGAUAUGCCUAUGGUAAUACAAGUUGAAGAAUGUAAAUUGUGAAGCUUAUAGUUAUGUACUUUCCCCUCUUACUUCAUCUCUUCAGGCUCAGAAUUCUCUUAACUACUUUGUUCUCAAACACACUCUUACCUUGAGCAAAGACAAGAAAUU